RNAcentral lists this ribosomal RNA (239 nucleotides) under Paenibacillus sedimenti. RNAcentral describes it as "partial 16S ribosomal RNA". It matches the Rfam family "Bacterial small subunit ribosomal RNA", at positions 1322 to 1533 of the family's 1533-position model. Lineage: Bacteria; Bacillati; Bacillota; Bacilli; Caryophanales; Paenibacillaceae. The record is from RNAcentral.
GAAGUCGGAAUUGCUAGUAAUCGCGGAUCAGCAUGCCGCGGUGAAUACGUUCCCGGGUCUUGUACACACCGCCCGUCACACCACGAGAGUUUACAACACCCGAAGUCGGUGAGGUAACCAUCUGCAAACUUGUUUGCUAGCGGAGCCAGCCGCCGAAGGUGGGGUAGAUGAUUGGGGUGAAGUCGUAACAAGGUAGCCGUAUCGGAAGGUGCGGCUGGAUCACCUCCUUUCUAUGGAGA